Molecule: ribosomal RNA, 252 nt
Filed under: uncultured bacterium
Lineage: Bacteria
Description: partial 16S ribosomal RNA
Rfam family: Bacterial small subunit ribosomal RNA
Source: RNAcentral
UACGAGGGGGCUAGCGUUGUUCGGAUUUACUGGGCGUAAAGCGCACGUCGGCGGAUCGUUAAGUCGGGGGUGAAAUCCUGGAGCUCAACUCCAGAACUGCCUUCGAUACUGGCGAUCUUGAGUCCGGAAGAGGUGAGUGGAACUCCUAGUGUAGAGGUGGAAUUCGUAGAUAUUAGGAAGAACACCAGUGGCGAAGGCGGCUCACUGGUCCGGUACUGACGCUGAGGUGCGAAAGCGUGGGGAGCAAACAGG